Cucurbita maxima (winter squash) is the source of this 270-nucleotide long non-coding RNA. RefSeq lists it as uncharacterized. The record is from RefSeq and is a predicted model, not a curated record. The transcript is spliced from 3 exons. NCBI's taxonomy places the organism in Eukaryota, Viridiplantae, Streptophyta, Magnoliopsida, Cucurbitales, Cucurbitaceae.
ACAUGGAUCUGAUCACCACGNUGGAGAAAAUGCAGCUCGGAGGGCCUUCCAUCCGCCUGUCAGAGUUGCUGGAUGAGCUGAAGAAACAGAAUCCUGAUAACGAAGUCCAUCUCAACAACCUUAGAAAUGCGGUAUCAACACUUGCAAGUGAGGGAUUUGUAGCGAUCCAUGGUGAUAGCAUAAAGAGAAUGUGAGGAGCUUGAAGAUAUUGAUUGAUUACUUCAGAGGUAUGAAGCCAUGGCCUGAGAAAAACAUCCAUAUUUGGCAUCU